Non-coding RNA from Schistosoma rodhaini, 46 nucleotides. The record is from Rfam. NCBI's taxonomy places the organism in Eukaryota, Metazoa, Platyhelminthes, Trematoda, Strigeidida, Schistosomatidae.
GCACUGCUGAAGAGUCCCGUAAUAAGACGAAACGGCCGUCCAGCAC